Planococcus citri (citrus mealybug) is the source of this 1134-nucleotide long non-coding RNA. RefSeq lists it as uncharacterized. The record is from RefSeq and is a predicted model, not a curated record. The transcript is spliced from 3 exons. NCBI's taxonomy places the organism in Eukaryota, Metazoa, Arthropoda, Insecta, Hemiptera, Pseudococcidae.
GAGGAAUUAUUGUAUCUAGAUUUAUAUCUCAACUGACCUGCUUCGCUUGUUGCUUCGUUUUUUGAGUUGUCGAUUACAUAUUCAAUUUUUGCUAUACUGUUCGACACAAUCACGAUUGAAUUUAUCUUGCUUUCUGCCUCCGUUACGAAUUUGAGAAUUUUGAAAAAUACCGUCGAAAAUGUCCCCUGCAUUAACCAAAAUUGGAUUUUACGAAAUUAAGAUCGCACUGUUAUUCGGUUUAUGCUUCAUAAAACUCGACAUAAGCAAUGCAGCAGAAUUUAUUGAUCCGAAGGAUGUGACUUUACCUCCAAACAUCGUUGAACUCUUAAAAAACAAGAUUCCCGAUUUAGAUGCAAGAGAUAAACUAAACGAGAAACUUCUAAAAUACGCGAGGGAAAUAAAUGCGGACAAAGAAAAGGAUGACUUGGGGGAAAAAAGGAUCAUACAUUGAGAAGCAAAUGGAUCCACCAUGUUUUUAUAUGCGCAUUAAGAAAAAUAAUAGCGUACAAUGACAUUUGUUACGAUCAAUUUAAACAGAAUUACCUGCCUCCCGCAGCCAUUCCUUGGCGGGAAAAUUUUAUCGAAAAAAUAAUCAAUAUAUCAAACGAAACCGUAAAAUUAUCCAUUUCGGUAUUUAUUUAUACUGACCUCUGGUAACUUUACAAUGACGUCAAUAUGCAUCCCUCCAAUUUGGAUCGCAUUAGGAGGAACAGUAUGCGAAAUCGGAUACGUAGGAUGAACGUUAAUAAACGCCACGCUGGUAUUUUUGACAAUUUCUGAUAACGGUGGAAUCUCACCAAACACUUUUUUAGCCAAUUUCUCCGAUGGUUUGGUUGUAUAAAAUUGUCCAACACUCAUCCACAAAGCAUACGCAUAUGUAUUGUACAAUCUCUCCAAGAAGUUCAUUUUGCAAUGUGUUCCACUGGCAUACGUAGGAAUAUAAGCAGGAUGAGAAAUAGUCCCGAUGGCAUCAGCGACCCAUGGAAACAGCAUAUUCGGAUAAAUAUAAUCAUUGGCACUUUAAACUUGUACGCGAAACCCACAUACCAUUCGUGAUGAAGAAUAUCGGUUAAAAGCAAAUCAAAUUUGUCUGUCGAAUUCACAAGUUUCAUUAUAGUAGGAUUUAAUGACGAA